CGACCGGCGCACGGGUGAGUAACACGUAUCCAACCUGCCGAUGACUCGGGGAUAGCCUUUCGAAAGAAAGAUUAAUACCCGAUGGCAUAGUUCUUCCGCAUGGUAGAACUAUUAAAGAAUUUCGGUCAUCGAUGGGGAUGCGUUCCAUUAGCUUGUUGGCGGGGUAACGGCCCACCAAGGCAUCGAUGGAUAGGGGUUCUGAGAGGAAGGUCCCCCACAUUGGAACUGAGACACGGUCCAAACUCUUACGGGAGGCAGCAG
This 261-nucleotide ribosomal RNA is filed under the name uncultured bacterium. RNAcentral describes it as "partial 16S ribosomal RNA". It matches the Rfam family "Bacterial small subunit ribosomal RNA", at positions 92 to 354 of the family's 1533-position model. The record is from RNAcentral.